GACGAACGCUGGCGGCGUGCUUAACACAUGCAAGUCGAACGGAAAGGCCCUGCUUUUGUGGGGUGCUCGAGUGGCGAACGGGUGAGUAACACGUGAGUAACCUGCCCUUGACUUUGGGAUAACUUCAGGAAACUGGGGCUAAUACCGGAUAGGAGCUCCUGCUGCAUGGUGGGGGUUGGAAAGUUUCGGCGGUUGGGGAUGGACUCGCGGCUUAUCAGCUUGUUGGUGGGGUAGUGGCUUACCAAGGCUUUGACGGGUAGCCGGCCUGAGAGGGUGACCGGCCACAUUGGGACUGAGAUACGGCCCAGACUCCUACGGGAGGCAGCAGUGGGGAAUAUUGCACAAUGGGCGGAAGCCUGAUGCAGCAACGCCGCGUGCGGGAUGACGGCCUUCGGGUUGUAAACCGCUUUCGCCUGUGACGAAGCGUGAGUGACGGUAAUGGGUGAAGAAGCACCGGCUAACUACGU
This 467-nucleotide ribosomal RNA is filed under the name uncultured bacterium. RNAcentral describes it as "partial 16S ribosomal RNA". It matches the Rfam family "Bacterial small subunit ribosomal RNA", at positions 28 to 506 of the family's 1533-position model. The record is from RNAcentral.